UACUGCGAGUAUUAAAUGAAUGAUCGAAAUCUAAUUGUAUGAUUAAUUUAUUUAACUUCUUUUUAAUUUUCCUGUGAGAGGCUCCACUAGGUUUCUCAAUUCCAUUUCCAUGUCGUUGAUUUUUUGUGGUUUAAUCAAGCAUGACUUAUCUGCAGAUUCUGUUUUAUAGCUUGUCAUGGUAAGCAUUAAUUAAAAUACUAAAAGACAAUAGCUAAUUGCAUAUUUUUCCUCCAUUUAGAAUAUUGCUGUGCGGCUGUUUGAACAUUUAUAGCAGACAUUUCAAAACUUUUUAACAGAACUGCUCUAAUGGAACAUCAAAUACAACUUCAGAGUAAUUAAAAAAAGCUCUGAAAUGAUUAAAGUUAAAUUAUUCCUAUAGUCUCACAUAUAAGUUACUUUAGUAUUAAUUUCUAAUUGUUAGCAGAUGAUUAAAAGCAU
Molecule: non-coding RNA, 438 nt
Organism: Schizosaccharomyces pombe (fission yeast)
Lineage: Eukaryota; Fungi; Ascomycota; Schizosaccharomycetes; Schizosaccharomycetales; Schizosaccharomycetaceae
Source: the annotation of a GenBank genome assembly